AGCAGAGGCAGCUUCUGAGAGCCUGGGCAGGCAGCAGCUGGCUGACCAAGUCCACUGGAAGAGAAGGCUUGUGCCAGCCGGGAGAAGGAAGCCGGGGACAGGAUGAAAGCAACAACACCUUUGCAGACAGUCGACCGGCCGAAGGACUGGUACAAGACGAUGUUUAAGCAAAUUCACAUGGUGCACAAGCCGGAUGAUGACACAGACAUGUAUAAUACUCCUUAUACAUACAAUGCAGGUCUGUACAACCCACCCUACAGUGCUCAGUCACACCCUGCUGCAAAGACCCAAACCUACAGACCUCUUUCCAAAAGCCACUCCGACAACAGCACCAAUGCCUUUAAGGAUGCGUCCUCCCCAGUGCCUCCCCUACAUGUUCCACCUCCAGUCCCACCGCUUCGACCAAGAGAUCGGUCUUCAACAGAAAAGCAUGACUGGGACCCUCCAGACAGAAAAGUGGACACAAGAAAAUUUCGGUCUGAGCCAAGGAGUAUUUUUGAAUAUGAACCUGGCAAGUCAUCAAUUCUGCAGCAUGAAAGACCAGCCUCCUUGUAUCAGUCCUCUAUAGACAGAAGCCUGGAAAGACCCAUGAG
This 593-nucleotide small RNA is filed under the name Pongo abelii (Sumatran orangutan). Its description in RNAcentral is "processed transcript". The record is from RNAcentral. Lineage: Eukaryota; Metazoa; Chordata; Mammalia; Primates; Hominidae.